RNAcentral lists this unclassified non-coding RNA (200 nucleotides) under Capronia sp. RNAcentral describes it as "partial internal transcribed spacer 2". The record is from RNAcentral. Lineage: Eukaryota; Fungi; Ascomycota; Eurotiomycetes; Chaetothyriales; Herpotrichiellaceae.
UUAAGUUCAGCGGGUAUUCCUACCUGAUCCGAGGUCAACCUUAGAAAGGGGGGUCUCUUUCCCACCACCGAAAUGGCGGAGAAGAGGGCGACCGGGGCCUCGAGUCCCUAAUCCGAUACAUGCCCAGGGGCUCAGCGUACCGGGGUCCAACGAGGCCACCGUCAUUAUCUUUAGGAGGGGUCGAUUCGCGUCGACCAAGG